Molecule: transfer RNA, 71 nt
Filed under: Ictidomys tridecemlineatus (thirteen-lined ground squirrel)
Lineage: Eukaryota; Metazoa; Chordata; Mammalia; Rodentia; Sciuridae
Description: Spermophilus tridecemlineatus (thirteen-lined ground squirrel) tRNA
Rfam family: tRNA
About the family: Transfer RNA (tRNA) molecules are approximately 80 nucleotides in length.
Source: Rfam by way of RNAcentral
GGGGAUGUGGCUCAGUGGUGGAGCACUGGCCUGGCGUGUACAAGACCUGGGCUCAAUCCCCAGCAUCACCC